Long non-coding RNA from Triplophysa dalaica, 3896 nucleotides. RefSeq lists it as uncharacterized. The record is from RefSeq and is a predicted model, not a curated record. The transcript has 2 exons. Lineage: Eukaryota; Metazoa; Chordata; Actinopteri; Cypriniformes; Nemacheilidae.
GAUGCAGAUCUCCACUACCGCCUGGUCAUUGUCAUUGGUCAGGUAGUCCUGUAGCCAGAUGAGAAACCUGUGAGGUCAUAACUGAAUACAGAUGAUAGAAGCAUGCACUGUCUAUUAACCUUUGGCGUGCAAAUGAUUGUGAUUUCUGAAUAGGAGCAGAACUUUCAAGGAAUUUAAAUCUCUGUUUUGCAUAUAUAUAUUUGAAUAUAUUAGAUCUAUAUUUUGGCAAAUGCAAGAACUGCUCCCUGAUUUUCGAUUCUUAAUACUAAACAUGAAAAAUAAAUAACGAUAUCAGUUUUGUCGGUGCAUACGUUUUUAACAUAUUAACUGUUCAAAUCCAUUCAGCAAAAUAUUACACAUUUCCUCAAAGAAUAGCACAGAAAAUGUAAGUAAUGUUUGAGAAUGAGUCUGGGCCUGAUUAUGAGGCAUGUUUGGAAUGAUAAUAGAAUGCAAGUGACAGUGCAAAGGAGUACAAUGAAGGCCCUGGAGAGAGAGAGAGAGAGAGAGAGAGAGAGAGAGUUCUUAACCUUUUUAACAUUUUAGCCAAGAUUUACAUCCAUAAAACCAAAAUAACACAUUCAAAUCCCUCAUAUAUUACUUUCUGCCAUAUUUGAAAAGCAUAUUAAAUAUAAAAACACAGAAUAAGAAACUCGAAAAAACUACAAAAGUUUUGAAGCUUUUCAAAAAAAAUAUAUAUAUAAUUACAAUAAAUAACAUUAGCUAACACCUACCCCAACCCUAACCUUACAAUAAAAAUAUAAUCAACUAUUUUGAACGUGACAAAAAUUGUGCGGUAUUGAAGUGCGCAUGCCCAGUGGACGUAGCCGUAUCCUAGUCAAAACCCGCUUGACCGAGAUUAACUUCCGUUCUGUGUUUGUCAUCGGUCUGUCUAGUGGCUAGUAAUAUGGCGCCUACUAAAAAAGCACUGAGAGUUAAGGUGAUGACUAGACUGAAGCAAGGAUCAAGUUGUUGUGUUGUGGGAUGCAACGUGAUCUCUGGAACAAAUGCCCUUUCAAAAAUAAAAAUGUUUCGGUUUCCCAGAGACGAGGAGAGACGAGGAGCAUGGACCGCCGCUGUGCUCAGAGAGGUUUGGCAGCCAUGCAAGAAUACAAGGAUCUGUAGCACUCACUUCAUUACAGGUGCACCAUCAGUGGACCCAUUACACCCAGAUUAUGUUCCAUCAAUAUUCGAACACAUAAACGGCGUCAGUGGUUCACAGAAGAAACAGAAGAGAACAUCUGUGGUAAAGUCUAUCCUUGCUGACACUGGAGAAAGAUGCACUGCUGUGGGUACAGAUCUUUCAUUGGCAGACAUCGAGCAGUUACAAAAUGAAAAAUUUGAAUUGCAAAGAAAAGUUGCUUUACUGAAGAUGAAACUGGAAUUGCAAGAAAACGAGUACAAGAUCAGAGUUCAAAGUGAAAUGUGAGAUUGUCUUAAACAUCUUUUGUGAAUGGCUCGAUGUGAUGGCAAAAGAGUUACAAUCCGUUGACCAUCCAGAAAAGAUGUCAGAAGACUAGGUUUCCAACAAGUUAGAUGUAAAACAGUUUCACUGAAUGUUUUGCCACCAAAUGUGUCCGUCUUCAUGUACCAGCAUCUACAAAAGGGAUAAAAAUGGACAUAUUCAGUAAUAAACUAUAAAUUAACAGUUUUAUUGACUGAUAUAUAAAUACUGUAGACUACAAUUUCUGUUGCUUUUACUGUUCUCAAUGUAAAAAGUAAAAUAGCUUGAUGUUUCAAAAACACAAACAACAUGCUUUUUUUAGAAUAAACGCAAACCUUUUUUUUUCAUGUUAGACUGGUUUCAAAUCAGCACUGUUGAGCUGCUUUUGGGACCAUUUUCAUUUAGCUAUCACUUAACUGCAGUUUUCUAUUUGCAAAUGCCUCCAUACCUUUUGGCAGCGUGUGUUUAAAUAAAAGCUAAAAGCAUAGCCUUUGCAUACAGCUAUUUUGAUGACCCUAAUUGAUUUAGUGGGGGAAGGGAGAGCGGAGCUUGUAGCUUGAUGUUUUUGCAUGGUUUCAAGAAUUGAGCUACUGGUUGUGGAUCAGUCUGAAAGGAAAUUUGAAAUGUACAUUAUUCAUAAAUAUAUUAUAAUUUUUAAUAUUAAUAUAAAAAUAAGGAAGACACAUUUAUAUUAUUAAAUAUCAUAUUAUUAAAUAUAAUGAUAGUUAAAAUAUCUCCACUUCUCGGUAACCUGUGACCAAAUCGUACCGACAUGGCUACACAACUCUCUAUUGCUGCAUAGAUCAGAUAGAUAUAUUAUCAACAGAAUAAAUUCCAGCAUUGCAAUAGCUAAUCUAAAUGCUAACCACUGCCUCAGUGGUUGGAGCAUGGCGCUACCAAUGCCAAGGUCAUGGGUUCGAUUCCAGGGCAGAGCUCCAGACUAAUUUUCCCCACUGGUCGCACCAACUUAUAAUUUGAUCUUUUUUACAGUGAUUAUAAUGAUCUCAGUUGAUGAAUCGUUCUGUUAAUUUGUCACUGUCUUUUAAAAUAGGCACUUAAAAUUUGCGGUUUUAACACCUGAGAGCCAAAUAAAUCCAAAAUAAAUGCAAAGAAACUUUUUAUUUGUUACUUUAUACAGUUAAUAUUUAGUUUUAUUUUCAAGUUAAAUAUAGGCUAUGAAAUGAUCUGACACAAAAUUGUUGAUUGUUUCAACAAAAUGAAUUGGUUCAAAUCAGUCAUUACAUCGCGAAUCGGACAUAACGCGCUGUUUGUUUUUCUCAGCUGUUUCGCAAAAGAUAGAAGUUAACAUGGAAAACACUUCACUGGAUAUGAUAUUUCCUUUAUCUCAGCAGGAUGUGCGGAACACUUGUCAGGGAAGAAAAGGAGACAUGUUUUUGUGAACAGGCAAUUAUCACAAGCACGUCAUUUACCAGUCACAAAAUCACAUUAAAUGUUAAAUAAAUAUUUGGUGGGGCAAAAAAUUUUUUGCCACUCCCACCAAUGCGAGACCCGUUAUAAAUUCGUGAGCAUUUUGGUCGCAGUCAAACUCAGAUACAAUUUAUAGUAUAAUGCAUUGUAAGUCCCUUUGGGUAAAAGUGUCUGCCAAAUGUAAAAUGUAAUGUAAAAUGUUACAGAAAGUCAUACUUACCAUGCCAUCCAGAUGGAAUGCCCACACUGGACUUCACCAUUCUUCAUCGUAAACAAUCCAUGUGGAGAAAGUGUCCAACCCGCCUCGAUUUCUCCGUAAACAACACAUGUAUUUCCAUUCAUGUGGGUCAGAAUGCUUUUAACUUUUCCAGAAGGAAAAUAGUUACAGGUACCCAAGCUGCAAUAUGCCUUGAACGCCUCCCUUGUAUGUACACAUUUCUUCUCGUCUAAGGUCACUGGAAGUUCCAUUUGGGCCAUAAAAGCAUGAAUGUGCAACUAAAGUUUGUUUAUGUUGUUGCUGUUGAAAACUUGGAACCAAAAGUUUUGACUAAACAUGUGGACUGAACAUGUGCGACUAUUCUAUAAUACCAUAUAAAAAAGUUUGAAAUAUAGUAGUCUUACACAUUGAAUCCAUCAGUUCACCAGCGUUUGUUAACCAACUACUUAUGGAACAGAUGUGCUUUUUGGAGCUUCAAAAAAACUGAACACUAUUCAACUGGAUUACAAAGCCAAGGAGACCCAGUAUGUAAUUAGUUUAAGAAAAGUCAUACAACUGAUGAGAUUUUACCUUUUUAGUCGGGUACUUGGGUAGACUUAUAUUGAUGGCAAAAAUAAAAAACUUUACGGGUUUAUCUUUGUUUUUCAAAUCUCGGCAUCUUAAUAUCUGCAUCUCCAUAUUGACUUUCAUUUCAUUUAUUGUUUUACAUUAGUUUCUUUACUUUAUGUUUUGAAUAUUUGUUUUUAAGUUACUUUGUGAGUGUAAAAUAAAAUGUUAUUAUGUAAACGAAAUAAAAUGCAAAAAAUUGUA